AGAGUUUGAUCCUGGCUCAGGACGAACGCUGGCGGCGUGCUUAACACAUGCAAGUCGAACGGUGAAGUCCCUUCGGGGAUGGAUCAGUGGCGAACGGGUGAGUAACACGUGGGCAAUCUGCCCCUCACUGUGGGAUAACUCCGGGAAACCGGGGCUAAUACCGCAUAUGAAGCCUGGCGGCAUCGCCGGGUUUGGAAAGUUUUUCGGUGAGGGAUGAGCCCGCGGCCUAUCAGCUUGUUGGUGAGGUAAUGGCUCACCAAGGCGACGACGGGUAGCCGGCCUGAGAGGGCGACCGGCCACACUGGGACUGAGACACGGCCCAGACUCCUACGGGAGGCAGCAGUGGGGAAUAUUGGGCAAUGGGCGAAAGCCUGACCCAGCGACGCCGCGUGCGGGAUGAAGGCCUUCGGGUUGUAAACCGCUUUCAGCAGGG
This 433-nucleotide ribosomal RNA is filed under the name uncultured bacterium. RNAcentral describes it as "bacterial SSU rRNA". It matches the Rfam family "Bacterial small subunit ribosomal RNA", at positions 8 to 444 of the family's 1533-position model. The record is from RNAcentral.